Molecule: non-coding RNA, 1180 nt
Organism: Camelina sativa (false flax)
Lineage: Eukaryota; Viridiplantae; Streptophyta; Magnoliopsida; Brassicales; Brassicaceae
Source: RefSeq, a predicted model, not a curated record
UUUAGCAAAAAUCACACAGGUACGUGAGCACAUCGACAUCAUCUCUUUCUCCCUUCCCGUGAAGCUGAACACCACCGGAUCACCAUCUCCUCCGGCGAUCCUCUGCAACAACUCCAGUGCCUUCCUCCAUAAUUUCCGACGAAACGUCUUUACCGAAGACUUUGAGACAUCAACUUCGUCUCCUCCAAUGGAUCAAACGCAGCUCCUUUGUCUUCUCCGACGGAACGUCUUCUGUGAAGUCGACUACCAGCGUACGUUCUCUGACGACUCCCUCCGGUGAAAGCUACCACACAUUAUUCCUUCAAGAAGACAACCACAACUCUUCCUUAUCCACCGACGCGUGUGAACCUUCCUAGUCAUCAUCGUCGGACUGUCACCUUUUCCGGUACCAUCAUCACUUUUCAUCUCAGGUGAUGAGCUCUCCACCUUGUCGUCACUAGCAAACUUUAUCGCUUCUCCCAUGUGAUCUUGUUCAAUCAAUUCCGACGACUCUUGGAACACAAUGGAAUAGCAAACCAACCCAGAAAAAUAUGAACUUUUGUGGAAACAUCAACAACAGCCAUAUGAAGACACAGGAAGAAACAGAUCACCAUUUGCAUUUACAGUUUGGAAGUUACACCCACUUUCCCAGAACAGAUCCGGAAUGAUGCAACCUGCAAGCAGUCCAACUUUGAGAGCAAUUUCCCAGUAAACCACAAGGAAUAAGAUGACGAUCUUUAUAUCAUUGGAAAGAUCCCGCUCUCAAGUUUUCAGAAAACCUUUUGUAGCUUCAAUCUGAGGAUUAAGCAAUGAAUCAAAUUCCAACACUCCCUCUUGAUUCAUUAGCUGAAUUCCCAAAGUCUAAACUAGCAAAUUUGAUCCCACAUUCUACUUCUUCUCGAUCUGUUCGUGAAUCUCUUUCACGUCAUUGGCAGAACUCGUUGGUGCUUAGAGCAAAUCACUCUUGUCUCCUUCAGAGAUGAUGCUUCACAUUAAUCUCUUCCGGUGAGUCAAGCCCUCACCAUCUCGGUUGUUCUUCAUGGAUACUCUAUGCUCUCCACAGUACAUACGCAGGUAAUUCACUUCUUCCUCUUGUUGAUUGUGUGUCUCAAAGGCAAACAUCCGAGACAUAACACACAUACAACGAAUCAAACAAACCAACAGCUGACUUCACCCCAAAGUCACAUAUGAAAGUAUGAAC